Molecule: ribosomal RNA, 822 nt
Filed under: uncultured bacterium
Lineage: Bacteria
Description: bacterial SSU rRNA
Rfam family: Bacterial small subunit ribosomal RNA
Source: RNAcentral
UNUGACUUGAGUGCAGAAGGGGAGAGUGGAAUUCCAUGUGUAGCGGUGAAAUGCGUAGAUAUAUGGAGGANCACCAGUGGCGAAAGCGGCUCUCUGNUCUGUCACUGACGCUGAGGCUCGAAAGCGUGGGUAGCGAACAGGAUUAGAUACCCUGGUAGUNCACGCCGUAAACGAUGAGUGCUAGGUGUUAGGCCCUUUCCGGGGCUUAGUGCCGGAGCUAACGCAAUAAGCACUCCGCCUGGGGAGUACGACCGCAAGGUUGAAACUCAAAGGAAUUGACGGGGGCCCGCACAAGCGGUGGAGCAUGUGGUUUAAUUCGAAGCAACGCGAAGAACCUUACCAGGUCUUGACAUCCCGAUGCUAUUCUUAGAGAUAGGAAGUUACUUCGGUACAUCGGAGACAGGUGGUGCAUGGUUGUCGUCAGCUCGUGUCGUGAGGUGUUGGGUUAAGUCCCGCAACGAGCGCAACCCUUAUUGUUAGUUGCCAUCAUUAAGUUGGGCACUCUAGCGAGACUGCCGGUAAUAAACCGGAGGAAGGUGGGGAUGACGUCAAAUCAUCAUGCCCCUUAUGACCUGGGCUACACACGUGCUACAAUGGUCGGUACAACGAGUUGCGAGCCGGUGACGGCAAGCUAAUCUCUGAAAGCCGAUCUCAGUUCGGAUUGGAGGCUGCAACUCGCCUCCAUGAAGUCGGAAUCGCUAGUAAUCGCGGAUCAGCACGCCGCGGUGAAUACGUUCCCGGGCCUUGUACACACCGCCCGUCACACCACGAGAGUUUGUAACACCCGAAGUCGGUGAGGUAACCUUUUAGGGGCCAGCCGCC